AUCUUUCUAGUAUCAAACAGUACAGAUGACUUCCAAUCAUUCAGUCUUGGUUUAACCCCAGGGGAAGAUA
RNAcentral lists this transfer RNA (70 nucleotides) under Plectropomus leopardus (leopard coralgrouper). RNAcentral's name for it is "tRNA-Gly". It matches the Rfam family "tRNA". From Rfam's summary of the family: Transfer RNA (tRNA) molecules are approximately 80 nucleotides in length. Their secondary structure includes four short double-helical elements and three loops (D, anti-codon, and T loops). Lineage: Eukaryota; Metazoa; Chordata; Actinopteri; Perciformes; Serranidae. RNAcentral also lists the same sequence under 1 other name. The record is from RNAcentral.